RNAcentral lists this ribosomal RNA (860 nucleotides) under Wettsteinina pachyasca. Its description in RNAcentral is "LSU rRNA". It matches the Rfam family "Eukaryotic large subunit ribosomal RNA", at positions 74 to 953 of the family's 3401-position model. Lineage: Eukaryota; Fungi; Ascomycota; Dothideomycetes; Pleosporales. The record is from RNAcentral.
AUUGCCCCAGUAACGGCGAGUGAAGCGGCAAUAGCUCAAAUUUGAAAUCUGGCCCUUUCAGGGUCCGAGUUGUAAUUUGCAGAGGGCGCUUUGGUGUCGGCAGCAGCCUAAGUUCCUUGGAACAGGUCAUCAUAGAGGGUGAGAAUCCCGUAUGUGGCUGCUUGUCUUCACCGUGUAAAGCCCCUUCGAUGAGUCGAGUUGUUUGGGAAUGCAGCUCUAAAUGGGAGGUAAAUUUCUUCUAAAGCUAAAUAUUGGCCAGAGACCGAUAGCGCACAAGUAGAGUGAUCGAAAGAUGAAAAGCACUUUGGAAAGAGAGUCAAAAAGCACGUGAAAUUGUUGAAAGGGAAGCGCUUGCAGCCAGACGUGCCCGUAGUUGCUCAUCUGGGGUUUUCCCCAGUGUAUUCUUCUAUGGGCAGGCCAGCAUCAGUUCGGGCGGUUGGAGAAAGACCUGUGUCACGUAGCUCCUUUCGGGGAGUGUUAUAGGGCAGGUGGAAUGCAACCAGCCUGAACUGAGGUCCGCGCAUCUGCUAGGAUGCUGGCGUAAUGGCUGUAAGCGGCCCGUCUUGAAACACGGACCAAGGAGUCUAACAUCUAUGCGAGUGUUUGGGUGUCAAGCCCGAGCGCGUAAUGAAAGUGAACGGAGGUGGGAACCCCUCGGGGCGCACCAUCGACCGAUCCUGAUGUCUUCGGAUGGAUUUGAGUAAGAGCAUAGCUGUUGGGACCCGAAAGAUGGUGAACUAUGCCUGAAUAGGGUGAAGCCAGAGGAAACUCUGGUGGAGGCUCGCAGCGGUUCUGACGUGCAAAUCGAUCGUCAAAUUUGGGCAUAGGGGCGAAAGACUAAUCGAACUAUCUAGUAGCUG